CGUUCUAUGGCCGAACUGGUGAAGGCAUCGCAGGCGAAGAUGCAGGUUCGAGUCCCGCUAGAACGG
RNAcentral lists this transfer RNA (66 nucleotides) under Operophtera brumata (winter moth). It matches the Rfam family "tRNA". From Rfam's summary of the family: Transfer RNA (tRNA) molecules are approximately 80 nucleotides in length. Their secondary structure includes four short double-helical elements and three loops (D, anti-codon, and T loops). The record is from Rfam by way of RNAcentral. Lineage: Eukaryota; Metazoa; Arthropoda; Insecta; Lepidoptera; Geometridae.